Molecule: ribosomal RNA, 501 nt
Filed under: Triticum aestivum (bread wheat)
Lineage: Eukaryota; Viridiplantae; Streptophyta; Magnoliopsida; Poales; Poaceae
Description: partial small subunit ribosomal RNA
Source: RNAcentral
AUGAGUGGAACAACGUUCCGAUAUUUAAUAUCACUGGCAGUGAAAAUGAAUUUGUCUAUCCAACUGAUGGAUGUUGUGACUGCAUAUUUAUAUGGGUCACUGGAUUCGGAUAUUUAUAUGAAAAAAUUUAAUAUGGAUAAAGCAUAUCCAUCGAAAACACCAAUGGUUGUUAGAUCUCUUGAUAGAGAUAAAGAUCCAUUUAGACCUAAGGGUGAUGAUGAAGAGGUAUUAGGACCUGAGUUUCCUUACCUCGGUGCUAUUGGAGCACUAAUGUAUCUAGCAAACUGCACCAGGCCUGAUUGUAUUACACAGAUGCAAACAGGUUAUAUAAAGAGUAAUAUUACAAAGCAUAUUUCUCCUAAGUUAUUUUAUCCCCAUGAGUUACAGCAGACCGGGGAAAUAAUAUUUUGCAAACGAAGUCAUGUGAUAAUCUUGUUGAUUUGUUCACAAAAUCAUUACCAAGUUCUUUAUUUGAGAAGUACAUCAAUAGAAUUGGUAUGA